RNAcentral lists this ribosomal RNA (497 nucleotides) under uncultured bacterium. RNAcentral describes it as "partial 16S ribosomal RNA". It matches the Rfam family "Bacterial small subunit ribosomal RNA", at positions 28 to 507 of the family's 1533-position model. The record is from RNAcentral.
GAUGAACGCUGGCGGCGUGCCUAAUACAUGCAAGUCGAGCGAACGGACGAGAAGCUUGCUUCUCUGAUGUUAGCGGCGGACGGGUGAGUAACACGUGGAUAACCUACCUAUAAGACUGGGAUAACUUCGGGAAACCGGAGAUAAUACCGGAUAAUAUUUUGAACCGCAUGGUUCAAAAGUGAAAGACGGUCUUGCCGUCACUUAUAGCUGGAUCCGCGCUGCAUUAGCUAGUUGGUAAGGUAACGGCUCACCAAGGCAACGAUGCAUAGCCGACCUGAGAGGGUGAUCGGCCACACUGGAACUGAGACACGGUCCAGACUCCUACGGGAGGCAGCAGUAGGGAAUCUUCCGCAAUGGGCGCAAGCCUGACCGAGCAACGCCGCGUGAGUGAUGAAGGUCUUCGGAUCGUAAAACUCUGUUAUUAGGGAAGAACAGAUGUGUAAGUAACUGUGCCCAUCUUGACGGUACCUAAUCAGAAAGCCCCGGCUAACUACGUG